RNAcentral lists this ribosomal RNA (495 nucleotides) under uncultured bacterium. Its description in RNAcentral is "partial 16S ribosomal RNA". It matches the Rfam family "Bacterial small subunit ribosomal RNA", at positions 28 to 507 of the family's 1533-position model. The record is from RNAcentral.
GACGAACGCUGGCGGCGUGCCUAAUACAUGCCAGUAGAACGCUGAAGGAGGAGCUUGCUUCUCUGGAUGAGUUGCGAACGGGUGAGUAACGCGUAGGUAACCUGCCUGGUAGCGGGGGAUAACUAUUGGAAACGAUAGCUAAUACCGCAUAAUAGUAGAUGUUGCAUGACAUUUGCUUAAAAGGUGCAAUUGCAUCACUACCAGAUGGACCUGCGUUGUAUUAGCUAGUUGGUGGGGUAACGGCUCACCAAGGCGACGAUACAUAGCCGACCUGAGAGGGUGAUCGGCCACACUGGGACUGAGACACGGCCCAGACUCCUACGGGAGGCAGCAGUAGGGAAUCUUCGGCAAUGGACGGAAGUCUGACCGAGCAACGCCGCGUGAGUGAAGAAGGUUUUCGGAUCGUAAAGCUCUGUUGUAAGAGAAGAACGAGGGUGAGAGUGGAAAGUUCACACUGUGACGGUAUCUUACCAGAAAGGGACGGCUAACUACGUG